RNAcentral lists this long non-coding RNA (697 nucleotides) under Panax ginseng (ginseng). RNAcentral describes it as "long non-coding RNA (PGIN_LNC010058)". The record is from RNAcentral. Lineage: Eukaryota; Viridiplantae; Streptophyta; Magnoliopsida; Apiales; Araliaceae.
GCCAUUUUUUUUAUAGUUGAAUUCCAUGUUAUUUUAAUUUUUGCCAACAUCUUAAUCCUUCUUUUCACACUCACCUAUCUGCCAAACAUUGCAAGUAAUUCACUUAUAAGUGAAAGAUUAUCCCUAACAAACACUUUGGAAGAGUUUAUUCAGCUCACAAAAUGUGUAUACAUGGAAACAAACAAACAAACAAACAUGGUUAGACACUUUGCAUAAACAAAACAUUAUAUUAUGAGUAUUAUGUUUUUGAUAAGUAAGUUACUAGCAAAAAAAUUAGUGGCCUAGCAGGUCAAAACAGGAAAUUAAAAAAUACUGUAAAAAAUACAAACUCAUCUUUGGCAAGAACCAUCAAAUUUAAACAGAGAAAUUAGGGUCGAACAAUCCCGUAAAGCGAACCAUUCCAUAGAGCUCUGCAACGCAGAUCUAAUUUCUCUAACACAAAUAUAAUGGAGUAAUAAUAUUAGAACUAUAUAAAAUUAGGAGAUCUGAUUAGAGGAUCAUCAAUAUACCUUUAGGCGGGUAGGCAGGAGGCAUAAAUAAAGUGUAUAAUAAAGCUGCAUCAUUUUUUCUCCUCUUCAUAGCCAUCUCAAAGAGAGGACAGAAAUGUGUAGAAUGUAGAGAGAUGUAUGGGAGCGGCGGUGAGGGAAGGGAGCCGCAAGGCAAGCCCUAAUCUAUAUAACUAAAAGGCUGAAUAACA